Molecule: non-coding RNA, 551 nt
Organism: Coffea arabica (coffee)
Lineage: Eukaryota; Viridiplantae; Streptophyta; Magnoliopsida; Gentianales; Rubiaceae
Source: RefSeq, a predicted model, not a curated record
UCCAACACACAACCGCACAAGCACUCUACCUCCAUUGCCAAAACCGCGGCUCCACCUCCACUUUUCUUCACAAUCCAACUUCUCACCUCAGCUCCACAACACCAUUUCCCUUUCGGAUCAGCAGCUGGAGCAAGGUAGGAGAGCUGAAAUCCGCAAGCUACACCCAGUUUUCCAGCCGCAACAACCACCACAGCUCCACCAUCUGCUCAGCCAAGACAACCCCAAACCAGUCGCGAGCCUAGGGAAAUAAUUCUGCCCAGAUUUGUUCGUGCGUGAACGGAGCAUUAGCAGAGGGUAUCGUGAGGAAGUGGAACUCGAAUCCCAAUUUGACAUCUGAACUUCACUCUUGGUCUUGAAGUUUGAGAAAUCUGAGCAGUGCUGAUUUCUUUUAAUUUGUACUUGAAUCUUAAGACUGCAGUUUACCGUUGUAUUGUAUUGUGAAUUGAAAAACGUAUUGGUUAUUUUGGAUUGCCACUUGAAGCUGGAAAAUGUUUAAACCCUAAUUAUUAUGUUUGGCUUGUAUGGUUGUAAUCGUGGUGUGUGACAGUAUA